Molecule: ribosomal RNA, 253 nt
Filed under: uncultured bacterium
Lineage: Bacteria
Description: partial 16S ribosomal RNA
Rfam family: Bacterial small subunit ribosomal RNA
Source: RNAcentral
UACGUAGGGCGCAAGCGUUGUCCGGAAUUAUUGGGCGUAAAGAGCUCGUAGGCGGCUUGUCACGUCGGGUGUGAAAGCCUGGGGCUCAACCCCGGGUCGGCCGUGCGAACUGCUGGGCUUGAGCACUGUAGAGGCAGGCGGAAUUCCGGGUGUAGCGGUGAAAUGCGCAGAUAUCAGGAGGAACACCGAUGGCGAAGGCAGGUCUCUGGGCAUUAACUGACGCUGAGGAGCGAAAGCAUGGGGAGCGAACAGG